This 411-nucleotide ribosomal RNA is filed under the name uncultured Acidobacteriota bacterium. Its description in RNAcentral is "bacterial SSU rRNA". It matches the Rfam family "Bacterial small subunit ribosomal RNA", at positions 80 to 524 of the family's 1533-position model. The record is from RNAcentral. Lineage: Bacteria; Pseudomonadati; Acidobacteriota.
CAAUCCAUGAGUAAAGUGGCGACCGGGUGAGUAACACGUGACUACCUACCCUUGAGUGGGGGAUAACCUCGGGAAACCGAGGCUAAUACCGCAUAAUAUCGAAAGAUCAAAGGAGUAAUCCGCUUUUGGAGGGGGUCGCGGCUGAUUAGCUAGUUGGUAGGGUAAUGGCCUACCAAGGCGAAGAUCGGUAUCCGGCCUGAGAGGGCGCACGGACACACUGGAACCGAAACACGGUCCAGACUCCUACGGGAGGCAGCAGUGGGGAAUUUUGCGCAAUGGGGGAAACCCUGACGCAGCAACGCCGCGUGGAGGAUGAAGCCCCUUGGGGUGUAAACUCCUUUCGACCGGGAAAAUUAUGAUGGUACCGGUGGAAGAAGCACCGGCUAACUCUGUGCCAGCAGCCGCGGUAAU